RNAcentral lists this ribosomal RNA (253 nucleotides) under uncultured bacterium. RNAcentral describes it as "partial 16S ribosomal RNA". It matches the Rfam family "Bacterial small subunit ribosomal RNA", at positions 524 to 776 of the family's 1533-position model. The record is from RNAcentral.
GACGUAGGGGGCGAGCGUUGUCCGGAUUUAUUGGGCGUAAAGCGCGCGUAGGCGGUUCGUUAAGUCGGGUGUGAAAACCCGGGGCUCAACCCCGGGCCUGCAUCCGAUACUGGCGGACUCGAGGCAGACAGGGGAGAGUGGAAUUCCCGGUGUAGCGGUGAAAUGCGCAGAUAUCGGGAGGAACACCGGUGGCGAAGGCGGCUCUCUGGGUCUGUCCUGACGCUCAGGCGCGAAUGCUAGGGGAGCAAACAGG